RNAcentral lists this transfer RNA (66 nucleotides) under Atkinsoniella wui. RNAcentral's name for it is "tRNA-Ser". The record is from RNAcentral. Lineage: Eukaryota; Metazoa; Arthropoda; Insecta; Hemiptera; Cicadellidae.
AAGAGAUUUAGAGAAAAGAUAGCUGCUAACUAAUUUUUUAAGCGGUUUAAUUCCGUUUAUCUCUUA